This 309-nucleotide ribosomal RNA is filed under the name uncultured eukaryote. RNAcentral's name for it is "partial 18S ribosomal RNA". It matches the Rfam family "Eukaryotic small subunit ribosomal RNA", at positions 1470 to 1796 of the family's 1831-position model. The record is from RNAcentral.
CCCUUAGAUGUUCUGGGCUGCACGCGUGCUACACUGAUUAUUUCAACAAGUGUUUUAACUGGAGAGUUUGCGUAAUCCUGAAAUGUUAUCGUGAUGGGAGUAGAGUAUUGUAUUUGUUAAUCUUUAACGAGGAAUUCCUAGUAAGUGUAGGUUUAUAAGUUGUUCUGAUUACGUCCCUGCCCUUUGUACACACCGCCCGUCGCUCCUACCGAUUGAUUGAUCCGUGAAUUACAUAGAAUUUUGCGUUUUACAUGACGGAAGAGGAAGUGUUUUAAACCUUAUCAUUUAGAGGAAGGAGAAGUCGUAACA